UGACAGUUGGAUUGGGACAUGCAAACUGUUUGAAGGUUAUUGAAGCUUAUAUUGCCACUACGUAUCUUAUGUCUCAGUUCCAGAGGCUGAAAGUCCAAGAUCAAGGUACUGCCAGAUACAGUGUCUGAUUUCCCUGGAGAACACUGCCUAAUACAGUACACAAUAGCUUAAAAAUUGACUUUUAGUCAGAAACUUGACUCUGAUGAAUUGCAAAAGAAACUGCUUUUCUUUUUUUUUUUUUUAUCCUUUGGGAGUUCUUUUAUGUGUCCUAAUUUUAUUUCUAGUAUCUUAGUACAUAAUCACCCAGAGUGUGAAGCAUCCUAACAUGCAGCAAACAGAGCCAAGUCUGUAAUAAAAACAGAUGACUGAGAAAAGAUAUAUAGUAAAUAACAAUGAAGACACACAGGCACAAGGGAAAAACACUGAGGGAAGGCUGUGUGAAGAUAAAAGCAGAGAUUGGAGUUUUUCUGCUACAAGCCAAGGACACCUGGAACCACCAGAAAGUGAAAGAGCCAUCUUCAGUACAUCAUAUGGUCACACUCUGCUUGGAGAAACAGAAACAAGAUGAACAAGGAGAUGAACAGCAAAAACAGUUCUUCCAUGAACCUGACAUCAUAACCUACAAGUUUCACAAUGAAACAAGAACAGCUUAAAACUGAUGGUGACUGAGUGGUGCUAAUGCCAAAUUUUUGGUCAAUAUCUCAUAUUCAAGAGGAUAAUCAGAGGAGAGAAUUGUUAAAUUAACUAAACAAGGAAACCAUUAAACUGAGUGACUGCAAUGCCUUAGUGGUCCAUGUAAGCAAACCAAAAUCUAAGCCUGUAAAUGCAUCAGUGUUACAAAAUCAAAACCUAAGGACAACUAAUCACAAAAAACCAACUAAGCUUUACACUACAGCCAAUAAAAUAAUUUCUUUGUUUGCACUCCUUCUCUAUAUAAGUUAUUCCCCUAGCUUAUGUUGGUAGAAUGCUUCUAACCACUUUUGAUUUUCUGCUGCCCAAAUCGAAUUAAUUUUUGCUCAGAUAAACAUACCUCAGUUUAUCUGUAAUAGCCAAAAACUGGAAUCAGCCCAGAUGUCUCUCAUAGCAGAGUGAUUAAACAACUCUGGUACCUCCCUUCCAGAGAAUACUACUCAGUAAUAAAA
Long non-coding RNA from Equus caballus (horse), 1142 nucleotides. Lineage: Eukaryota; Metazoa; Chordata; Mammalia; Perissodactyla; Equidae. The record is from Ensembl.